GCCGGAGGGAUAAGAAAGCAAAGUCUGAGAAGUGAGGCUCUGCUGAUACCACCCUCCUAGAGUAACGGGGCGGAGAGAGAGCAGCUCGGCUCUAAGGUUCAGCUGCUGCUCCCUGCACUGUCCAACAUCA
This is a non-coding RNA of Xenopus tropicalis (tropical clawed frog), 130 nucleotides long. NCBI's taxonomy places the organism in Eukaryota, Metazoa, Chordata, Amphibia, Anura, Pipidae. The record is from Ensembl.